AACGAACGCUGGCGGCGUGGAUAAGACAUGCAAGUCGCGCGGUCAGCAAUGGCAGCGGCGGACGGGUGAGUAACGCGUAGGAAUGUAUCUUGAGGUGGGGGACAACCCUGGGAAACUGGGGCUAAUACCGCAUGCGUCCUGAGGGACAAAGCAGCAAUGCGCCUUGAGAGCAGCCUGCGUCCGAUUAGGUAGUUGGUGGGGUAAUGGCCUACCAAGCCUGCGAUCGGUAGCUGGUCUGAGAGGACGACCAGCCACACUGGGACUGAGACACGGCCCAGACUCCUACGGGAGGCAGCAGUGGGGAAUAUUGGACAAUGGGCGCAAGCCUGAUCCAGCAAUGCCGCGUGGAUGAAGAAGGUCUUCGGAUUGUAAAGUCCUUUCGACGGGGACGAUGAUGACGGUACCCGUAGAAGAAGCCCCGGCUAACUUCGUGCCAGCAGCCGCGGUAAU
Molecule: ribosomal RNA, 450 nt
Filed under: uncultured bacterium
Lineage: Bacteria
Description: bacterial SSU rRNA
Rfam family: Bacterial small subunit ribosomal RNA
Source: RNAcentral